This 502-nucleotide ribosomal RNA is filed under the name uncultured bacterium. Its description in RNAcentral is "bacterial SSU rRNA". It matches the Rfam family "Bacterial small subunit ribosomal RNA", at positions 23 to 518 of the family's 1533-position model. The record is from RNAcentral.
CUUAGGAUGAACGCUAGCGACAGGCUUAACACAUGCAAGUCGAGGGGCAGCAUAAAAGUAGCAAUACUUGGUGGCGACCGGCGCACGGGUGAGUAACGCGUAUGCAACCUACCUAUCAGAGGGGAAUAACCCGGCGAAAGUCGGACUAAUACCGCAUAAAACAGGGGCACCGCAUGGUGAUAUUUGUUAAAGAAAUUCGCUGAUAGAUGGGCAUGCGUUCCAUUAGGUAGUUGGUGAGGUAACGGCUCACCAAGCCGACGAUGGAUAGGGGAACUGAGAGGUUGGUCCCCCACACUGGUACUGAGACGCGGACCAGACUCCUACGGGAGGCAGCAGUGAGGAAUAUUGGUCAAUGGGCGGGAGCCUGAACCAGCCAAGUCGCGUGAAGGAAGAAGGAUCUAUGGUUCGUAAACUUCUUUUGCAGGGGAAUAAAGUGCAGGACGUGUCCUGUUUUGUAUGUACCCUGAGAAUAAGGAUCGGCUAACUCCGUGCCAGCCGCUGC